Molecule: ribosomal RNA, 332 nt
Filed under: uncultured bacterium
Lineage: Bacteria
Description: bacterial SSU rRNA
Rfam family: Bacterial small subunit ribosomal RNA
Source: RNAcentral
CGUGUAGGCGGUUGGGCAAGUCAGAUGUGAAAGCCUUCCGCUCAACGGAAGAAGGGCAUUUGAAACUACCCGGCUAGAGUACGGGAGAGGAGAGUGGAAUUCCCGGUGUAGAGGUGAAAUUCGUAGAUAUCGGGAGGAACACCAGUGGCGAAGGCGGCUCUCUGGUCCGAUACUGACGCUGAGACGCGAAAGCGUGGGGAGCAAACAGGAUUAGAUACCCUGGUAGUCCACGCCGUAAACGAUGGGCACUAGGUGUAGGAGGUAUUGACCCCUUCUGUGCCGAAGCUAACGCAUUAAGUGCCCCGCCUGGGGAGUACGGCCGCAAGGCUAAA